UGACCAUGAAAAAACAAUGCUUGAAAAAGAAAAUGAGGAUUUCAAAGAAGAGAUUUCUGAACUGCACAAUAAGAUUUUUCAUCUCGAAAGUGCUCUGAAGCGCUCUGAAAAAGAAAAUUGUUUAUUAGAUAAGCAAGUUCAAAGAAUGCAAUUAAAACUGGAAACUAAUGAGCGAACUAUUCAAAAGUUAAUUGAAAUUCAAGACCAAA
Molecule: long non-coding RNA, 209 nt
Organism: Nothoprocta perdicaria
Lineage: Eukaryota; Metazoa; Chordata; Aves; Tinamiformes; Tinamidae
Exons: 3
Source: RefSeq, a predicted model, not a curated record